CGUAGGGGGCAAGCGUUGUCCGGAUUUAUUGGGUUUAAAGGGUGCGUAGGCGGUCUUGUAAGUCAGUGGUGAAAUACGGCAGCUUAACUGUCGAGGUGCCAUUGAUACUGUGAGACUUGAGUACAGACGAGGUAGGCGGAAUUGACGGUGUAGCGGUGAAAUGCUUAGAUAUCGUCAAGAACACCGAUAGCGAAGGCAGCUUACUAGACCGUAACUGACGCUGAUGCACGAAAGUGUGGGGAUCAAACAGGAUUAGAUACCCUGGUAGUCCACACUGUAAACGAUGAUUACUCGAUGUUGGCGAUACGCAGCCAGCGUCUUAGCGAAAGCGAUAAGUAAUCCACCUGGGGAGUACGCCGGCAACGGUG
RNAcentral lists this ribosomal RNA (368 nucleotides) under uncultured organism. Its description in RNAcentral is "bacterial SSU rRNA". It matches the Rfam family "Bacterial small subunit ribosomal RNA", at positions 526 to 896 of the family's 1533-position model. The record is from RNAcentral.